Molecule: RNA transcript, 7678 nt
Organism: Aedes albopictus (Asian tiger mosquito)
Lineage: Eukaryota; Metazoa; Arthropoda; Insecta; Diptera; Culicidae
Exons: 2
Source: RefSeq, a predicted model, not a curated record
ACGACGGCUACCAUCGAAGCGCCCCCCGAAAGCUUAGACGUUUCUCAUGCGAAUGUGUGAGACGAAUACCUAUACUAUGGGAAGCUGUCAGAUAGGUUAUCAGAAAAUAGCAAAUCAUCGUUGUGGAUGCAGAAUUGUGAACUAUAAAGUGAAUUGGAAAUUUGUUUAUUUGAACUUAUAAUACUAAUUAAAACUACCUAAUUACAGAUCACAACAUAAACUAUUACUAAAUUACCCUAGCUAUAUUGCAAACCGUGAAAUUUAUUUGCCUAGUACGGGACCAAUUGUAAGUAGAAUUAGUUCUUUUUUAAUGCAAUUCAAUCACGAAUAAAUUUACAGCUUUGAGCUGAUUUCACCGGGAACAUUGGCGAAUUUUGCUCCAAAGACCUCCGAACGGCAAUCCACCGCAACAGUCUCAAAGAAUUGUUCGAGAUACAUAUCAACAUGCAAGGAUCCUUUGUCCGCCAGACGCGGUCGAAAAGUAGAGCGAUCCAAGAUGCAGCAGGCAGUAGUUCUCAACCUGUUCGUAGUGACGGUGCACGGCUAAACGUUCCGGAAUCAAUCGAAGAAGCAUUCGAGCCUUCACUGAUAGACAUCGAGCACGGCGGUGAUCAUGAUUGUGCAAAAUGUGGACGACCCAACAACGCCGAGUUGUACAUGGUACAGUGCGGAAAGUGCAAGCACUGGUACCACUUCUCGUGUGAGAACUUGGACACAGUUACAGCACGAUCAAGUGUCUUUGUCUGUGCAAAAUGCAAAGUGGUAGACCCACCGCCCCCUGGUAGUUCACGAACCAGAUCGAGUGCUUCGAGUGCGAAAAGGGCCCAAAUAGCUCGGGAUCUUCUACGGUUGGAGGAAGAAAGGUGCCUGCGCGAAAAGUUAGAGAACGAACGGUUGCAGAACGAGAAGCUACUGGUCGAGAAAGCAAUGAAUGAAAAGCUGGAACGAGAGAAGGAGUAUCUGGCUCGGAAGCAUGAGCUGCUUCGUCAGCAGGAUGAAGAGGUGCUGAGUAUAAGGAGUAGCCGCUCCAGUCGAAGUGGGGCAAGCAGCAGACAAAAGGUGGAAGACUGGUUCAACCACCAACAAGUGUCUGACGCACUCCCAGUUGAGUCAAAUCAAAAGAAACUUCAACAAGUCUCAUCCGAUCAACUUGCCGGACCAGCCGGUUCAUCGACUCCCAUGGAAACCAGCAGGGUGGUUGACAUGAAUCUUCAGCGAGUCCCAGCCGAGAUCGAAGUAGAAUCAGUUCCACGUACCGCCGACAGCAUUUCUAUCGGUGACAGUCCGGUCGAAUACGAUUUGCAUCAAAACGACCAACAAAGACAGAGUGCGGAAAGACAGUCAAACGUUCCAAACUUACCCUUGGUGAAUAUUCAACCGUACGUUCGUCUUCUUGAAGAUUCGAAUCCCACGAGUUCUUUCAUUCCAAAGCGGUUGACUACGGACAUCCGUCCGAGAAUUGUAACGAAGAUAAGGCCACCGGUACCCUAUGCAGUGUGGCAACGCGAAACGUGCGAGAUGCGGAGGCAGCAUGAUCGCGGACAGCGGCAGUUAGGUGAGGUCGAGGAAUCCUAUAGUCAACAGCAGCGGGAACAGGAAUUGAUUCGUCGUCUGAAGCGAUCCGAGGAAGAGCGUGAGCAGGACAGACAACGUCUGGAAGAUAUCGAAGCUGUUCUGAAAAUGCAACACGACGUCGAAACGCAGCACCAACAGGAAAAUGAUGUACGUAGGAAGCGAGAACUGGAUCUAGUUAACCAACUGAAGCUUUUCGAAAAACGAUACGAACAGGAGCAAGCAAGACGAGCGGAAGAGAAGCAGUCAUUCAUGGCGAAGGAGGAAAAGUUGAUCGAACAGUUGGAAAUUCUACGCCUGAGCUGUGAGCAAUAUUCGGCAGCGGAACAGCGCUCAGCGGCCGAGUGUAUUUCGGCGGCGGAACAGCGCUCAGCAGCUGAACAUCUCUCGGUGACGAACACACGCAUACCAGCGGAACAGAACGUUAACUUCCAAGGAACGUUCCAGCGAGGUUUAGCCGUGAGUACAAACCCACCAGCGGUUCCGGUAAGUGGUACGCAAAACAAUGUUUCAAACAGAGUGUCCCCUUGCCCAAGUGCCGUUAGUCAGGAUAGGAGAGUAGGAACACCCAAUGCAAACUUUGUACCUCCAAGGUUAGGGCCACCUUUGACAGAUCCGUUAGGGCAAUCUCAGUUCGAUCCGAAUGACUCCGCUAACCAGAACCGUUUCGCGCCCUUGCACUGCCAAUCAGUGAUGCAGGGCCCGAAUCCGCAACAGUUGGCAGCGAGGCAGGUCAUAUCCAGAGAUCUUCCAGUGUUCAGUGGCGAUCCCAUCGAAUGGCCACUCUUCAUCAGUAGCUACAACCAUUCCACCGUGGCGUGUGGCUACACCGACUCGGAAAAUCUCCUACGUUUACAACGAUCGCUGAAAGGAGUCGCCAAGGAAGCUGUUAGCAGUUUCCUUCUCCAUCCGUUCACCGUACCGCAGGUUCUAUCGACGCUUCAGACACUGUACGGAAGACCAGAACAGAUCGUUCACAAUCUGGUCGCCAAGGUCCGAGGAACACCUGCCCCCAAAGCGGAAAAACUGGAGACGUUGAUUCAGUUUGGCUUAGCCGUCCAAAACUUGUGUGGACACUUGCAAGCGGUGGGAAUGGAAAAUCACCUUUCUAAUCCCAUCCUUUUGCAAGAGCUCGUGGAUAAGCUGCCGGCCAACAUAAAGUUCAACUGGGCACUGCACCAAGAGAACUUACCACUAGUUGAUCUGAAGGCGUUCAGCGAGUACAUGAGGAAGGUCACAACCGCCACUAGUGGAGUAACGAACUUUUCUGUCGCAGUAAAACCAACAAAGGACGAUAAGCCUCGGCACAAAGACAAGGUGUUCGUGAACGCUCACGCGGCCCAUGAGCAGAAGGAAGCAGUGCAAGCUGCCAACUCAUCUGGUGAUCGGCAAGGGCGAACUAAAAGCGGAAAAGACAAGCCAGUCAUAGCAAACAAAAGUUGUCCUGCAUGCGGCGCUUACGACCACACAGCUGCGAGUUGUGGAAUCUUCAAGAAGCUGUCGAUUGAUGGACGGUGGAAUUUCGUCAAGGAAAACAAACUGUGCCGUCGAUGUCUCGUUUCCCACACACGCUGGCCAUGCGAAGGAGAGGUUUGCGGUAUCAACAACUGUGACAAGCGCCACCAUCGUCUACUACACUCGGAGCCUAUCAAGAAACAGCCAGUUACCGAUGCCACUGUUACCAUCCACCGUCAGCCCAUUUCAUCGACGUUGUUCAAGAUUCUGCCUGUGACAUUGUACGGGAAGAAUAGUUCGGUGAAUACGUACGCAUUCUUGGACGACGGCUCAUCUGUGACUAUCGUGGAAAAAGCUAUUGCAGACGAACUGGGAGUAAACGGGCGAGCGCAUUCCUUGUGCAUCCAUUGGACUAGUGGAGUAAACAAGAAAAUUGCAACUACGGAACUGGACACGCUGAGCAUUUCGGAACUUGGGGGUGACACGCGUUUCCACCUGUCCGAAGUGUAUACCGUCGAGAAUCUAGGACUACCGGAACAGUCGCUGGAUGCUGUACAACUGGCGAAGGAGUUCCAGCAUCUGCGUCGUCUACCAGUCAGCAGUUAUCGAGGGGCCGUGCCUGGACUGUUGAUCGGUUUGAGUAACUCGCACCUGUUGACGACAACGAAACUUCGAGAAGGCCAAGAACGAGAACCAAUCGCUGCAAAAACUCGCAUUGGCUGGGUCGUAUGUGGUCGCGUACGAGGGGGAGAAGAAAACUUCCAGCACCGUCAAAUGCACAUAUGCGCCGACACGACAGAGCAUGACCUUCACGACUACGUACGCGAGUUUUUCUCGGUGGAAAGCUUAGGAGUUGCCUUGGCUCCUAACUUGGAGGGAAGUGAAGACCAACGAGCGCGCAAAAUUCUUGAGGACACUACAGUUCGGACCGCAAGUGGGAAGUUCGAAACCGGACUGCUUUGGAAAACAGAUUCCAUCGAGUUCCCGGACAGCCGUCCGAUGGCGGAGCGUCGAUUAAGAUGUCUUGAGAAGCGUUUGCAAAGGGACUCGAAGCUGUACGACAGCAUACGGCAACAGAUGGCAGACUAUGAAUCGAAAGGUUACGUCCACGUAGUAACGAAGAAAGAAAUGGCAGAAUUCGAUCCUCGGCGUAUCUGGUUCCUUCCUUUAGGAAUCGUGCUGAACCCAAACAAACCGGGAAAAGUGCGAGUAAUUUGGGAUGCGGCGGCGAAAGUGAACGGAGUGUCGUUGAACUCGAUGCUCCUCAAAGGUCCUGAUCUGUUGACGCCGCAAUUGUACGUGACCUUCAAAUUUCGGGAACGUGAAGUGGCGUUUUCCGCAGACAUCCAGGAAAUGUUCCUGCAAGUUGGAAUCAGGAAGGAAGACCGAAGUGCGCUGUUAUUCGUCUUUCGUAACACACCGACCGAACCGUUUGUGACCAUGGCGUCUGACGUCGCCAUUUUCGGAGCAACAUGUUCUCCCGCACAGUCACAGUACGUGAAGAACCGUAACGCAACGGAGAAUGAAAUACGCUAUCCAAGAGCAGCAUCAGCGAUCAAGAAUAAGCAUUACGUUGACGACUACCUUGAUAGCGUUGACACAGAAGAAGAAGCCAUAGAACUAGCGUUGGAGGUAGCAGAAGUCCACCGGAAAGCAGGCUUCCAUAUCCGGAACUGGGUAUCAAACCGAUCCUCGGUUCUGGACGCCAUCGGAGAUGAGAACCCCUCUACAGUGAAAAGCCUGUCUAUGAACAGCCACAGUGGUUUCGAGCGGGUGCUGGGAAUAUCGUGGUUGCCAAGCGAAGACGUGUUCUGCUUCACGAUCAGCCUACAAGAGGAACUGGAAAGGAAGACGGCGCCGACUAAGAGGGCGAUGUUAAGUUUUGUUAUGAAGAUUUACGAUCCAUUGGGACUAGUCGGCUCACUGGUAGUUCAAGGGAAAAUACUGCUGCAAGAUGUCUGGAGAGCGAAGGUGGAUUGGGACCAAAAGAUACCCGAAGAACUGUUUGUGCGAUGGAAGCUAUGGCUGCAGGGUUUGAAGGAGUUAGACAACGUACGAAUCCCUCGAAGCUACUUUCCGGGGUACGAUCCUACCUGCUACGAAGACCUGGAGCUCCACAUAUUCGUGGACGGAAGUGCGCAAGCAUACUCAUCUGUAGCAUACUUCCGCGUUCACGAUCGGGGACAGAUACGAUGUGCGCUAGUGGCGUCUAAAACGAAGGUAGCUCCACUACAGUUGACCUCCGUACCUCGAUUGGAGUUGCAAGCCGCCGUGAUUGGUGCACGUCUGCGUAAGACCAUUGAAGAUGGUCAUUCAGUCCGGAUCAAACGAACGUUCUAUUGGAGCGACUCAAGCACCGUCAUUUCGUGGGUAAAGUCAGAUUCUCGAAGGUAUCGGCAGUACGUGGCGUUCAGAGUCAACGAGAUCCUGAGCCUGUCGAAGACGGAAGAGUGGCAUUGGUUGGGUACCAAAAUCAACGUAGCCGAUGAAGCCACAAAAUGGGGUAAAGGUCCAAACUGCAAGCCCGAAAGCCGAUGGAUGCGUGGACCGGCGUUUCUGUACAACGACGAACAGGAUUGGCCGAAGGACAAGUUCGAGGGAGCGGCACAUGCUACAGAAGAGGAGCUGCGGCCUGCUUACGUCUGCAGCCACUUUUUAUCAUUUCCGGUAGUCGAAGUGUCGCGGUUUUCCAAAUUCGAGCGGCUACUACGAGGCUUGGCGUUUGCUCGCCGAUUCGGCGAAAAGCUUCUGCGGCGAAUCAGGAAAAUGAAGAGCGAUGAAACUACGGAUAUCAGCAGUGAGGAUUUGCAAAUUGCGGAAAGAAGUCUCUGGCGGUAUGCUCAGUCGGACGGAUACGCAGAUGAAGUUGCUACAAUGAACUGGAACGCGCAAACGGCUCCCAAAAAUAGGCGUGCGCUGAGCCGAAGCAGUCCACUAGCGAAUCUCCCACCGAUGCUAGACGAACAUGGAUUGUUGCGCGUAGAUGGUCGGGUUGCUGCUGCAGACUGCAUAGAUCGAGAUACCAAGUUCCCGAUAAUACUGCCUAAAGGACACUCGAUUACCAACUUGUUACUGGACUGGUACCACCGAAAAUUUCGUCACGCCAACAAUGAAACGGUCGUGAAUGAAAUUCGUCAGAAGUUUUACAUCCCAAAACUGAGAUCACAAGUCCGAUCCAUAGCGAAACGUUGCCAAUGGUGUCGUAUAUACAAAUCCGUUCCUGCUAUUCCGAAGAUGAGUCAACUGCCUCAGUUCCGUAUCACACCAUAUGUUAAACCGUUCACAUUUGUAGGCAUAGACUACUUCGGGCCCUAUACAGUAAAGAUCGGCCGUAGCGUGGUAAAACGUUGGGUAGCGAUAUUUACGUGCCUAACCGUACGGGCUAUACACAUGGAGCUAGUGCAUUCUCUUUCGACCGACUCGUGUAAGAAAGCAGUUCGACGUUUUAUCGCUCGCAGAGGAGCGCCGCAAGAAAUCUACACGGAUAAUGGAACAAAUUUCAUUGGCGCGAGUAGAGAGCUGAACAACGAAUUGCAAGAGAUUAACGUUAGCCUGGGCAGCACCUUUACGGAUACCAACACUCAAUGGCGAUUCAACCCGCCGUUGGCCCCACACAUGGGAGGAUGUUGGGAGCGCAUGGUUCGAUCCGUGAAGACCGCUCUCGGAACAUUGCCGGAAACAAGGAAGUUGGACGACGAAUCGUUUAUGACAUUGUUGGCUGAAGCGGAGCAUAUGGUCAAUUCGCGGCCGUUAACGUUUCUGCCUAUCGACAGCGAAGAGCAGGAGUCGUUGACUCCCAACCAUUUUUUGAUGCUCAGCUCUAGUGGAGUUCGACAACCGCUCAAGGCGCCGGUGGAUGAGAGAAAGGCGUUGAAGAACAGUUGGGAGCUGAUCCAACAUAAGUUGGAUAGAUUUUGGAGUCGUUGGAUAACCGAGUACCUACCAAUAAUAUCCCGACGGUCAAAGUGGUUCAGCGACAUCGAGCCUAUCAAAGAAGGAGCGUUAGUAGUUAUCGUCGACGGAAAAAUACGGAACCAAUGGGUGCGCGGCCGUGUGUGCCGAACAUAUCCCGGGAAGGACGGAGCUGUGCGUCUAGCGGAUGUCGAGACAUCUGCCGGAAUCUUAAGGAGAAGAGCAGCAUGCAACCUCGCAGUUUUGGACGUUACUGGACAUGAUGAAGAGCAUUCGGGUGAUCAAAGUGAUACGGAUAUCGGCGGACGCUGUGCAGCUGCGAGUCGCGGGUGUGGUGCCGUAGAACCAGUAGUCGUACGACACGAGGGGGAGGAUGUUGCGACGACGGCUACCAUCGAAGCGCCCCCCGAAAGCUUAGACGUUUCUCAUGCGAAUGUGUGAGACGAAUACCUAUACUAUGGGAAGCUGUCAGAUAGGUUAUCAGAAAAUAGCAAAUCAUCGUUGUGGAUGCAGAAUUGUGAACUAUAAAGUGAAUUGGAAAUUUGUUUAUUUGAACUUAUAAUACUAAUUAAAACUACCUAAUUACAGAUCACAACAUAAACUAUUACUAAAUUACCCUAGCUAUAUUGCAAACCGUGAAAUUUAUUUGCCUAGUACGGGACCAAUUCUUUGAGCUGAUUUCACCGGGAACAUUGGCGAAUUUUGCUCCAAAGACCUCCGAACGGCAAUCCACCGCAAC